UGGAAUAUUGCACAAUGGGCGAAAGCCUGAUGCAGCGACGCCGCGUGAGGGAUGACGGCCUUCGGGUUGUAAACCUCUUUCAGCAGGGAAGAAGCGCAAGUGACGGUACCUGCAGAAGAAGCGCCGGCUAACUACGUGCCAGCAGCCGCGGUAAUACGUAGGGUGCGAGCGUUGUCCGGAAUUAUUGGGCGUAAAGAGCUUGUAGGCGGUCUGUCGCGUCUGCUGUGAAAACCCGAGGCUCAACCUCGGGCCUGCAGUGGGUACGGGCAGACUAGAGUGCGGUAGGGGAGAACGGAACUCCUGGUGUAGCGGUGGAAUGCGCAGAUAUCAGGAGGAACACCGAUGGCGAAGGCAGGUCUCUGGGCCGCAACUGACGCUGAGGAGCGAAAGCAUGGGGAGCGAACAGGAUUAGGUACCCUGGUAGUCCAUGCCGUAAACGUUGGGCACUAGGUGUGGGGCUCAUUCCACGAGUUCCGUGCCGCAGCUAACGCAUUAAGUACCCCGCCUGGGGAGUACGGCCGCAAGGCUAAAACUCAAAUGAAUUGACGGA
RNAcentral lists this ribosomal RNA (550 nucleotides) under uncultured bacterium. RNAcentral's name for it is "bacterial SSU rRNA". It matches the Rfam family "Bacterial small subunit ribosomal RNA", at positions 357 to 917 of the family's 1533-position model. The record is from RNAcentral.